GCUGCUGGGGUGGGGAGCGGCCCCCCCUGGCCCCCUGCGAGCGACUGGGCCGUCGUUGCGGUUAGGGCUGCGAAUGCUGCGGAAGGAAGUCGGCCCAAACGUCAGGAUGGGGGUCUUGAGGUGCUGGAGGGAGAAGUUCGGGCUCCUUGAGCAAGGGCGGAGUUGCCUCCUUCGUUUGGCGUGGGGCUGGUGCGCAGGUCUGAGCCUCCUGUGCGGAGUUUCAGAGGGUUCCGCCGUCGGGCUUCGUGGAAUUGUCCCACAACAGGAGGGGUGUUGUUUGUUUGUUGGUUUUUAAUAUAGUAGCUGCAAAACCCACGUAUUGUGCCCCAAAAAUCCCAGACGCCCCAACCGUCGCAUGCUUUUUUAACGUGAGUCGUGGGAUUGCUUUUAACAUCCAUUGAUGUUUUCCCUUUUUUCCUUAGGCAGCGAAAUGGCCAAAUAAAAGGACCUUGAUUCGUGUAAAAAAAAAAAUAAACCCACAAACUUAUUUUGUCCUUUCAAUGUCUUUAUUCCCCGCUUGUGAUUCUCGUGUCAUUGAGCCCUAGUCCUUCUGGAAGAAUGAGCAGUGCAGUAAAGAAAUACAGCCAGGGUUCUGGGUUCUUAUCUGCAAGCAGACACGAGGAGAUAGUUGUAUUCAUAUGGGAAGCUGUUCAUUCAGUGUUGAAUUACCUUGUCUAAUGAUGGCCUGAGUCACAGAUUAGAUUACUGAAUAAUAAAAUUUUAAAAUUUUUUACAAGCCAUUAGUAACCCUUCAUUAUUUGGUGUAAAAAAACAAGCUUAACUCCAGACCUUCCAUAUCUUAAUUUUUUUUUAUGAUCUGAAACAAAAGAUUAUUAAUGAGUGGUCUUUAUUGGAUUGCUACAUUUAUUUGAUCUAUCCAGUGCACAGUCAGAAACAUGGCUGGAAGUUACUGAGUAUUGUAUAUAUAUGACAAAACAAAUCGUAAUGUGCUUCUUUGGUUGAGUUGGUAGGUUUUGAUACGUGCUAGGUGGUUAAAGAAGUUAUCUAAACCAAUUAACAUCAGUGUUUAUACUUACAGGACUGAAAUGUUGAGAUUAUGAAUUUUCAUUAAAAAUCCUUUGGGCUCAAGUUUAUUAGUGUGUAUAUGCAGUUACUGCUACUUGGCUUGUAGUACAGGUUUUCAAGUAGGUGUAACUCAUAACUCCUUGCUAAUGAAACUUGGCUGUAUUGGCUGCUUCCUCAAAGGCCUGCCAACUUAAGACAUAUAUUGCUUCUGAGACUUCAGAGAUUGCUGAUUGUUACUGAUGAUUAUUGUCUCAAUAUGUGUAACGUAGUGGCCUGGUAAUAAGAAUCUACUGAUUUCAAGUGUUAAGUUUGUUUACUGUUUGUUUUUAGGUAUGGUGGAGCAGAAGUUUUCAGUGGUGUCUAAUAUGUUGUACAGAAGCAUUAAGCCCUUCAUGGAAGCAUCCUCAGAAGUAGAAGAAUACUUGGUACAUACAAGUGGAUUUUCCUGAAAGCUAUUUUCUAGAAUACCAUGAAGAGUUUCUAAUAAUGGAAUCGGGCAUCCUGAUCAGAAACUGCCUGGCAACUGUAGUACAACAGAGAGAGGGGUGAUUGAAGGCUGCUUCUCAGUUAAAGGUAUGAAGGCAAAUAAAUCAUAGAAUCAUGGAAUUUUUUAGGCUGAAGGGACCUUAAAUAAAGAUCACCCAGUUCUAACCUCCCUGCUUGGGCAGGGACGCCUCCCACUAGAACAGGUUCCUCAAAGCCCCAUCCAAGCUGUCCUUGAAUAAUUUAAAAGCUUGAUGUGGGAGUAAUGCUUAAACAUUAGUAUGUCUGAUCAGUGAAGAACUUAUCCCAAAUCAGAUUGAUAGCUUGAUGAAAAAUGUGUGACUCUGACUCCUGAGUUCAGGCUGCUCUAACAUCAGGUGGGGUUUGUGUAUCAGCAUUAUGGAAAACAGGGUGAAACAUUUAAUCUAUCUUGGCUGCUUCUUUAAACUUCUAGUUCAAGAGGCAGUUGUUUUCACGUUGCUUGACAGACAAUUGUACAUAGAAGAAUGUGAUCUGGAUUAAGUUUUUUUGUUGCUUGCCUGUUAGUGGAUUUUAUCUUGAGUUUUUAAUGUUUUGAUACAAGCUGAGAACCAGAUUUUAGCUAAUUCUCACAAAUUAACUUGAUUCCAAUAGUAGAGGGGGAGUUAUGUUUGGUUAGUUGCCUAUCAUAGUUUAUAGCCAAGUUGAGAUACCUGGGGAAGAGAAGCAAAAUUAAUCUACAGUGGUAUGACUGCACUGUUAAGUUACCUUUCAGAGUACUAAUCCAACACAUGUUUAGUAAUGGAGCUUGCUCUGUAUGAGAGACUAGAUGACAAGUUGUAUUUUGAGUGAUGGAUGAAUGGAUGGAUUUUUCUGAACUAAUAAAUGUCUCUUUCUUGGACAGGAAUAUGGUCAGAAAUGUAGGAACAAAUGCUUUUAGCUUAUUCAGGCAUGUAAUUGAAAAGCUUCUAGACAUGUUUUUGUUUUGCUUACAGUUUGGGAAUUUUCUGUAUGGUGGCAGUUGUUGAUAUACUUAAUACAGUAAUUAACCAGUUGAUAUGGUAAGUUGGUAUAGUAUUUAAUUUGUACAUAGUUGGAAUUUAAGAACACUUCAUAGCUACAUGAAAAGUCUUAAAUAAGUAUGUUUUUUAAACAUGGCAAAGGACUACAGAAUGUUCAGGGGUUUUUUGCAAUCAAACGCUAUAGAAAAACAAUACAUCUCUAUUAAAUCUAGUUUUCUUCAUUGCAUUUGUCUCAUCUGUGAUGAUCCUAUCCCGAACCUGAAUUCUUUGUUGAAAAACUUAAUACGGAUCCGGAAUCUGAGAUGAGACCAAAAGAUUUCAUAAAAGUUUCUGAAAAGUAUAAUGUCUAUUGGGUGUUAGGGUUUUUACAGAAAUGGUAACACUAUAAUGUAUACAAAGAGUUGGGUGCUUAGUUGCAAAUUGAAAUUUAUUUCUCAAAUUAACUGAGACCAUGUUUUCUUUUUCUAGUGAUGGCUUGGAACACUGUCAAGAGCUGCCUGACAAAUGCAGAUGAUCUGUAACUGGAAGGAAAUGUGAUGCCUGAAGAGUUUUUGUGGCUUGGAGUGGGAUGCCAUGCUUUUUUAAAGCCUGCUGCAGCAGCUGCUGCAAUCUUGCUGAGCUAAUACUGUUUUCAGAAAUUGCAUGUGAACCAAAAUCACUGUCUCUGCAUGUUUAAAAUAGCACUGUCCUCAAAACAUUGAACUGCCCUCUGUAGGAAGGACAGCAGAAAUAUUAGGGAAACAAAUGUCAUGUUUCAGUACAUGGAAGAACCUGUGAGAGUAUUUGCCCUUUUAAAAUAUCAUCAGGGUAUUCAGACUUGCUGACACAGAAGAUCUGUAAUAACUCAAAACACGGGAACUUGCAGAUAGGCCCUGUAAAGACAAAGGUAGGUACCCAGUUCAAACCAAGUAGUGUGCUUAUCUGAGAUAGCAUCACCCAGGAGGCAGGAGGAAGUAGAUGAGGUGAUGUUGGUGUGGAAGCAUAAACAUGAAACACUUGGAAAAAAGAAAUUCAAGUGUAAAGAGGAGAAAGUUGUUACACAAAAGGCAAGGUCUAAAGCUUGUGUCUGUUUCUAGUGAGGGAGAGAGGAACUGGGGUUUUAUGGUUCACUUCAGCACGAAAAGGCCAGUGUUGCAACAGUGGAACUGCCCUUUUAGGAAUACACUGGCAAAGUUGCCUGCUUGCUGUGUGGGGAAAAGUGAUCAGUAGUGGAAGAAGGGAAUACACACAGUGGAACUUGUGCUUUGAGCAGUCUCUUUAAAAACUAACAAUGCCGUAUCACUGUAACAGCAUAUUUGCUGUAAUCAGCAAACUGGCACUCUUCCACAGAGGAAUGAGGGAUCUUAAAGUAGUUGCCAAGUAAAUUGGAUUUCAGUGAUAAAUCAUUAUGUACAUGAAGAUGCAAUCUGUCUUAAAGCAUGACUCUCAAACCUAAUUGUCAGAAAUGCUUUAGGAAGGGAGAAACACAGGCACAGGAAUGGCAUAAUACCUUAAAAAGUAAUAGAGCAACAGUUAAUGAAUCAUGUCAAAAUGCACCAAAAUACAGAAAAGCUACCUUGUAGUCUUCAGCAAAAAUGACACCAUUGCAAUGUCAGCAGCUCUCAAGAGUUGGAGGAAUUCCUAUAGUUCAUGGAAUAUGUCUAUUUCUAAAUGACUAAUUCCAUGAAAAGCCUGGUUUUCUGUAAGCAGUAUGAAGUGCAAAGCAGUGCAAAUAGCAUUGGGACUGUCAAAAAUAAGUAUCAUCUGACUGUUAAAAUACACUUUUAAGGAUCUGACCAAAUUUCAGGAGUGCGUGGACAAGAAAUUGAUGGUUAGGCAAACUUUUGGAACAUUGCCAUGUAUCAGUAACUGAGCAAAAAAAAGCAGCCAUUUUUGAGUGAAAUGAGUGGUGCUUAUAAGCAAGAGAAGUACCUCCUAACCACAGCAAAGGGCAGCUCUGCAAAAAUGCUACCACGAAAGUCACGAGGUCCUCAUUAAGAUGAGAGGUUUUGUCUGCUGAAGAACUUGUCUUGCCAGUGGAGAUGAGCUAUCAACAGUUGCAAGGGAGCGAAACUAAGCUAGCAGUGGUUGUCUUGCCACAGCACCCCCACUGCUCUGUGAGAGCAUUUGCUGGUGUGAAGCCUGCUUGAAGGAACAGAUUCCAGCGAGCAGAAAUUUCAGCAUAAGCUGUGUGGUCAGGCUACUGGUCAGCAGAGAAGUAUGCAGCCUUGGCUGCAGCUGCAUUGUGUGCCAGCUUCAGUGGGGUUCCUGCCUCCUCAUGCAGGCAAGCCCUUAACUGAACAAAUGUUCUAUAAAGCUUGGGUUUGCAUUUUUACCAAUUAAAAAUGGGCAAUGAAAUUAAAGAACAGUUAGUAGAGAAAGAGAGACUCCUUAAGACAGUCGAGCAUGGACACAGCAGAGAGAGCAGUGUUAGACUUUGCCCAAGGAAAGAUACUCUUAUAUUGGGGACUAUUUAACCCUGUCUUUGGGUCAACAGUUUUUCUGCACACCCUCUCCCACUGUUCUGAGGACAGAUUUUUAGUUAAGUUGGUAUUAAUUCAAUAGAUCAAUGUUAAUUUCAGGUGAGUGGAGUACAGGUGGAGGCCUUCAUUUGCUGUGUAAAUGUGUGUCUAAUAAUUUAUAUUCUCUGUACUUUUUGUUAGUAGAACCAGUAUUGGAAGCAUUUUCUCUUGUCUGCCCUUGCCUGUUUCUCUUGGAGGAUAUAAACUGAAAAAGUAAAAUUAAAAUUAUUAAUUCAAUUUUUCUUUUAGCAUCGUGGCUUUUUAGUUGAUAGUCCAGUUGAGCUAUCAGGGCUAUGAAGACAGUACUUCUCUGCCAUUGUCUCAAACUUCCUGCAGGCUCCAGAGGACAAAGUGGUGUUUGAUGCUCAGAAGAAUGGCUGUAUUGAGUGGCACAAAGUCUGCCUUGCUCAGUAUUCUGUCUGAGGAUGACCAGUAUAAGGAACAGGAGAAGUAUAGAGAGCUUGUCCAGCAGUUUGCUUGGGAAUUUCCUGAGGGGAUUUUCAUUUUUAUUUUAGUACUACUUGGCAAUUACAACUUCUGUUUAAAAAGAUGAGAAACAUGAAUGUUAUGUAGGCUGUAAAAUAUAUAAAGUAGUAUGCAUUUUAGUAACUGCAGGGAGGGGGGGCUAAGAAGGGGCUUGAAGUAAAAGGUUUUUUCCUCUUUAAAGCAAAUGUUGCAUUUGACUCUCACAUUGAUCAAAACACUGAUAAGUGGAGUCCAGUUAAGGCCACACUAGUAGGUCAGCUUUACUGUUCAACUGAGCUAUGUUGUAGGUGAAAGUUUGAAGUACUGAUCUGUACUUAGACUUCAGGCUUCUUACCAGACCAAUAACCACUACUUUUUUCUCCUGUGAUACGUUCUCAGUACCUGAAGGAACACUGUCCCAGCAAAGACAGUCCUAGUUUCAUGGUGGGAGGUGAAGCAUGAUUAAAAUCUGUCCUAAGAUAAAGUUCAGUCAUUUAUAUAUGUGGAAAGAAGCUAGGAAGAGAUGGACUGAAAAAAAAGUGCUUAGACCUUAUUAUGAAACUGAUAAGGUGAUUGAAAAGUAAUGUCUGCCUUUUUGAAUGGUCUUAAGAUCAGUGAAGAGGAGGAAUAUACAGCUACCAUUAAAUCUGUGUACUUCAUGUCACGUUGGCAAAAGAGGAAAUAACUUAGUAGUUUGUUUUUUUGAGUCAGGGAGUCUGCAGAUACCAUGGAGUUCUGAAAGAAACAUCUGAAGCUUAUACUGUGUGUCAGCUCUGUCUAAUAGUUAUGUCAUUUUCUGCAGCAGAAAAUAAAGCUAAUUGCUUCAC
This is a long non-coding RNA of Apus apus (common swift), 6303 nucleotides long. RefSeq lists it as uncharacterized. The transcript is spliced from 4 exons. Lineage: Eukaryota; Metazoa; Chordata; Aves; Apodiformes; Apodidae. The record is from RefSeq and is a predicted model, not a curated record.